GUGAUACUUUCUCCGUCUCAAAAAUUUUGUCUUAGAUUUGUCCAAAUACGGAUGUAUCAAGUCACAUUUUAGUAUUAAGUACAUUCGUAUCUAGACAAAUCUAAGACAAGAAUUUUGGGACGGAGGGAGUACUUG
Triticum aestivum (bread wheat) is the source of this 135-nucleotide non-coding RNA. The record is from Rfam. Lineage: Eukaryota; Viridiplantae; Streptophyta; Magnoliopsida; Poales; Poaceae.